UACAGAGGGGGCUAGCGUUGUUCGGAAUUACUGGGCGUAAAGGGCGCGUAGGCGGCCCUCUAAGUCGAACGUGAAAUCCCCGGGCUCAACCCGGGAACUGCGUCCGAUACUGGAGGGCUCGAAUCCGGGAGAGGGAUGUGGAAUUCCAGGUGUAGCGGUGAAAUGCGUAGAUAUCUGGAGGAACACCGGUGGCGAAGGCGGCUUCCUGGACCGACACUGACGCUGAGGCGCGAAAGCUAGGGGAGCAAACGGG
Molecule: ribosomal RNA, 253 nt
Filed under: uncultured bacterium
Lineage: Bacteria
Description: partial 16S ribosomal RNA
Rfam family: Bacterial small subunit ribosomal RNA
Source: RNAcentral